GGAAAGAUGAAAAGAACUUUGAAAAGAGAGUUAAACAGUACGUGAAAUUGUUGAAAGGGAAACGAUUGAAGUCAGUCAUGCCGGUGGGAAUCAACUUAGGGGAAACUCUAAGUGCACUUCUUCGCUUGGCAGGUCAACGUCGAUUUUGGAUGUCAUAAAAUGAUUGGGGGAAGGUAGCUCCUUAGGGAGUGUUAUAGCCCUUGGUAGAUGUGAUGUCUGGGAUCGAGGAUUGCAAUGGAUACCCUUUGGGGCUAGCUGCCUGAUCUCUAAUUGGUAUUGGGUUACGGAUAGCAUGCUGACCGUGAUCUAAUUAUUGGUUAAAAGGUUAGAGCGUGCAUAAAUUCAUUAAGGACGUUGACGUAAUGGCUUUAAACGACCGUCUUGAAACACGGACCA
RNAcentral lists this ribosomal RNA (396 nucleotides) under Entrophospora infrequens. RNAcentral's name for it is "LSU rRNA". It matches the Rfam family "Eukaryotic large subunit ribosomal RNA", at positions 358 to 668 of the family's 3401-position model. Lineage: Eukaryota; Fungi; Glomeromycota; Glomeromycetes; Entrophosporales; Entrophosporaceae. The record is from RNAcentral.